Molecule: ribosomal RNA, 490 nt
Filed under: uncultured Sphingobacteriales bacterium
Lineage: Bacteria; Pseudomonadati; Bacteroidota; Sphingobacteriia; Sphingobacteriales
Description: bacterial SSU rRNA
Rfam family: Bacterial small subunit ribosomal RNA
Source: RNAcentral
GCCCGCUCAGAACUUAAGGAAUGACGGGGCCGCGACAGCGGAGGAGCAUGUGGUUAAUUUCGAUGAUACGCGAGGAACCUUACCUGGGCUCGAACGUAAGAUGACUGUAGGUGAAAGCUUACAUCUCUUCGGAGCAUUUUACGAGGUGCUGCAUGGUUGUCGUCAGCUCGUGCCGUGAGGUGUCGGGUUAAGUCCCAUAACGAGCGCAACCCCUACCUUUAGUUGCCAUCAGGUUAAGCUGGGGACUCUAAAGGAACUGCCUACGCAAGUAGUGAGGAAGGCGGGGAUGACGUCAAAUCAGCACGGCCCUUACGUCCAGGGCUACACACGUGCUACAAUGGCCGAUACAGAGGGCAGCUACCUGGUGACAGGAUGCAAAUCUCCAAAGUCGGUCUCAGUUCGGAUCGGAGUCUGCAACCCGACUCCGUGAAGUUGGAUUCGCUAGUAAUCGCGCAUCAGCCAUGGCGCGGUGAAUACGUUCCCGGGCCUU